GACUCGGUAGCUCAGCAGGAUAGAGUGACUGACUACGAAUCAGUAGGUCUAGGGUUCGAAUCCCUACCGGGUCACCA
This is a transfer RNA of 77 nucleotides. It matches the Rfam family "tRNA". Rfam says of the family: Transfer RNA (tRNA) molecules are approximately 80 nucleotides in length. Their secondary structure includes four short double-helical elements and three loops (D, anti-codon, and T loops).